UACGUAGGGUGCGAGCGUUGUCCGGAAUUAUUGGGCGUAAAGAGCUUGUAGGCGGUCUGUCGCGUCUGCCGUGAAAGUCCGGGGCUCAACUCCGGAUCUGCGGUGGGUACGGGCAGACUAGAGUGUGGUAGGGGAGACUGGAAUUCCUGGUGUAGCGGUGAAAUGCGCAGAUAUCAGGAGGAGCACCGAUGGCGAAGGCAGGUCUCUGGGCCACUACUGACGCUGAGAAGCGAAAGCAUGGGGAGCGAACAGG
RNAcentral lists this ribosomal RNA (253 nucleotides) under uncultured bacterium. Its description in RNAcentral is "partial 16S ribosomal RNA". It matches the Rfam family "Bacterial small subunit ribosomal RNA", at positions 524 to 776 of the family's 1533-position model. The record is from RNAcentral.